CCUACGGGUGGCUGCAGUGGGGAAUAUUGGACAAUGGGCGAAAGCCUGAUCCAGCCAUGCCGCGUGUGUGAAGAAGGCCUUCGGGUUGUAAAGCACUUUCAGUGGGGAAGAAAGCCUUGGGGCUAAUACCCUCGAGGAAGGACAUCACCCACAGAAGAAGCACCGGCUAACUCCGUGCCAGCAGCCGCGGUAAUACGGAGGGUGCGAGCGUUAAUCGGAAUUACUGGGCGUAAAGCGCGCGUAGGCGGUCUGAUAAGCCGGUUGUGAAAGCCCCGGGCUCAACCUGGGAACGGCAUCCGGAACUGUCAGGCUAGAGUGCAGGAGAGGUAGGUAGAAUUCCCGGUGUAGCGGUGAAAUGCGUAGAGAUCGGGAGGAAUACCAGUGGCGAAGGCGGCCUUCUGGACUGACACUGACGCUGAGGUGCGAAAGCGUGGGUAGCAAACAGGAUUAGAUACCCUAGUAGUC
RNAcentral lists this ribosomal RNA (465 nucleotides) under Vreelandella stevensii. Its description in RNAcentral is "partial 16S ribosomal RNA". It matches the Rfam family "Bacterial small subunit ribosomal RNA", at positions 338 to 795 of the family's 1533-position model. Lineage: Bacteria; Pseudomonadati; Pseudomonadota; Gammaproteobacteria; Oceanospirillales; Halomonadaceae. The record is from RNAcentral.